AAAUUUAGAUAUAUAUAAUGAUUUAUUUAAUGGCUGCGGUAUUUUAACUGUACUAAGGUAGCAUAAUCAUUUGUCUAUUAAUUUUAGACUAGAAUGAAAGGUUAUAUAAGAAAUUAGCUUUCUUAUAAAUAUAAAUAAAAUUUUUUUUUUGAUUAAAAAAAAUCAAAUUGAUUUAUAGGACG
This 182-nucleotide ribosomal RNA is filed under the name Pinochius sp. Thai 1406. Its description in RNAcentral is "partial 16S ribosomal RNA". The record is from RNAcentral. Lineage: Eukaryota; Metazoa; Arthropoda; Insecta; Hemiptera; Schizopteridae.